RNAcentral lists this small nuclear RNA (97 nucleotides) under Sorex araneus (European shrew). Lineage: Eukaryota; Metazoa; Chordata; Mammalia; Eulipotyphla; Soricidae. The record is from RNAcentral.
GCUUGUUUGGGGAGCAAAAGUCGGGCUGAUACAGAGAAUAUUAGCAUGACCCCUGGGUAAGGAGGGCCUGCAAGUUCAUGAAACAUUUCGCUUUUUU